UCUUUUCUACUGUUUUGGUUCAACAUUGAGUACCUAACUCACAAAGGUACCAUAAUUUAAAUUUGAAGCAUGACUCCACACCAUGAACCCAGCCUGACCCAGAAGUCAAUUGUCACACAAAUUUUCACCCUCUGCCAAUUUCCAAUGUUCUCGCAGACCCCCAUGUCAAUGACACUCCUCUACGCAUAGCUAGGUCGGAGACCAGAUGGAGCUCCCCAUAGGGUUGACAGAGGAUAGUUUCCACUCUCGCCAUCAGAGAGUUCUUUCCAUUAACUACUAAAAAUGCAUUCCAAUAUGAGCUUUGUUAAACUCACUAAAGCUACAGAAGCACAGUCCAUGAGCACAUAUAUCCGUGCAGAAUGAUCCCCUAAAUUUAUAGCAAUGAUCAUCACAAUCUAAUACAAUGAAAUUGUCACCAACAAUUGCUCCCUUGGCGGCCUGAAACAAAAUUCAGAAUGUGAGUAUUAUUAUCCAUCGCCAUUACAAAUUAGUACAUAACAUAUGUAGUCAGCCUCAUCCUAUUUCAUGAAACAACCUCAGACAUCCAUUGUUAUUAACAUUGUUGUAAAGGAAGUAAAAACUAUUUAAUACUAAGCGUAAGGGUAAACUUUUUUGGACUUUAACAGAAGAUCGAAUUACCAACACACACUUUUAUAAGCUUUAAAGACUGACACUGAAAUUUAUGGUAAGUCACUGAAAAGGGAAAAGGAACAACAUAUGGUUAGGAAGUCCUACUUAACAACACAUACUAAAAGUCAUUCUAUUUCUAGUUACGUUGAAAAAUUGCCAACAAGACCAGUGAAUUAUACAACAGCUGCUCCCUCACAUUGCAACAAGUGUAAUGAAAAAUUUUUAACCUUCACUAAACAAAUUCAUACUUGCGAUGCAGACAUUGAACCAACAUUCAUACUUGCCCAUACCAACUCUCUUUAAUGUCAGUUGAGCCUCAUUGAUUCAACAUCCAUACUUGCCCGCCUCCAAGUUAGCAAACAAUUCCAAACAUAGUCAAAACAUAAAUAUUUUACAGAUGUUUCGCCCAACACCUGAUACCUUUGUUGAACAAAGCAAAAAUGUAAAAACUAGAUGCCUCUCCAUUUCCUUCUAAAUACCAUCUCUCUGCACAUGACCUCUCCAUACUGUCAACCUCUCCAUUCCCUUUAUUAAAAAUACAUAUGUUCAUUACAACCUAAGGGAUUUAAACACCAUUGUGAUAUUGAAUACUCAAAUCCCUUAUUUUUAGCAACUAACCGGUUCCAAGAUGUACUUAUUACCCUUUCAAACACAUCUUCCAGCCCCAGAGCUUUACCUUCAAGGCUUUAAAUACCAUUAAGUUUCUGGCCUUGUAAAUGACACCAUGCACAGGCAAACAAUUAUUGAAAGUUACCAUUUUUCAUACUAUAAAAACCAAAUCAAAAGAGGCAAAAAUUAAAUUGAUAUCCCACUUACAAGCAUAGCAAUGUUGUUCUACCUGCAAAGACACUUCGACUAUCAAAUCAAAUUAGUUAUGAAUUUAAAAUGAUUUUGGUAAAAAAAAUUACAUACCUACCUGAGAUGUUCUCCUUCUCCCCCCAACAGAUCAUCAUAUCACAAUUUCAAACAAAUAAAAUAAAAUAACAAUGGAAAGGAAGAAAUAACUCACCAUUUUCCCUCACCUAUUUCCAUAUAGAAAGCAUCAUCUAUAUAUUAUGUCAAAAAAUAACAAUCGAAUCUUACCCUUUUUCCUUACCCAUUUUGUUAUUAUAUCUCAACACUCGUUGCUACAUUGAGAAGCUCCUCACUAGCAUAAUGCAGAAAUCUUGAAAAGAUGCUAACAGCCUGACGUAAGGCACCUUAAUUAAGCAUCCAACUAAGCGUCGUCCAUAUUCUUCUUCAACUCUUCUUAGACGUACUUUUCUCGUAUAGCAAGAAUCGAGCCAUUUCCAUCAGGGUCCUAUUUUCUUCCUUUUACUCACACUAUUCUGUUGCAAUGAUAUUUUGAAGCCAGAACAUAGGUAAGCAAUGUAUCCAUUGAGAACUUCAAUAACGAUAACUAGAACUGUUUCAGAUAUGAUUACCCUCUCAGCCUCUUAUAGUAUCUUCUGCUCCUUUCUGUUUUUAGUUUUCAAAAGAAAGUGAGUAACAAANN
Molecule: long non-coding RNA, 2125 nt
Filed under: Trifolium pratense (red clover)
Lineage: Eukaryota; Viridiplantae; Streptophyta; Magnoliopsida; Fabales; Fabaceae
Description: long non-coding RNA (TPRA_LNC014231)
Source: RNAcentral